RNAcentral lists this ribosomal RNA (433 nucleotides) under uncultured bacterium. RNAcentral describes it as "partial 16S ribosomal RNA". It matches the Rfam family "Bacterial small subunit ribosomal RNA", at positions 29 to 507 of the family's 1533-position model. The record is from RNAcentral.
AACGAACGCUGGCGGCAUGCCUAACACAUGCAAGUCGAACGAGACCUUCGGGUCUAGUGGCGCACGGGUGCGUAACGCGUGGGAACCUGCCCUCAGGUUCGGAAUAACUCUCCGAAAGGGGUGCUAAUACCGGAUAAUGUCUUCGGACCAAGGAUUUAUCGACCUUGGUUGUGCCCGCGUUGGAUUAGCUAGUUGUUAGGGUAAAAGCCUACUAAGGCGAGAAUCCAUAGCUGGUCAGAGAGGAUGAUCAGCCACACUGGGACUGAGACACGGCCCAGAAUCUUACGGGAGGCGGGAGUGGGUGAUAGUGGACAAUGGGGGGAAGCAUGAUGCAGCAAGGCUGCGUGAGUGAUGUAGGCCGUAAGGUAGUAAAGCUCAUUUAACCGGGAUGAUAAUGACGGUACCGGGAGAAUAAGCGCCGGCUAACUACGUG